RNAcentral lists this transfer RNA (67 nucleotides) under Trithemis morrisoni. RNAcentral's name for it is "tRNA-Leu". It matches the Rfam family "tRNA". Rfam says of the family: Transfer RNA (tRNA) molecules are approximately 80 nucleotides in length. Their secondary structure includes four short double-helical elements and three loops (D, anti-codon, and T loops). Lineage: Eukaryota; Metazoa; Arthropoda; Insecta; Odonata; Libellulidae. The record is from RNAcentral.
ACUAUUUUGGCAGAAAAGUGCCAUGAAUUUAGAAUUCAUAAAUAUAGGUUAACCCUAUAGAUAGUAC